Molecule: ribosomal RNA, 465 nt
Filed under: Vreelandella stevensii
Lineage: Bacteria; Pseudomonadati; Pseudomonadota; Gammaproteobacteria; Oceanospirillales; Halomonadaceae
Description: partial 16S ribosomal RNA
Rfam family: Bacterial small subunit ribosomal RNA
Source: RNAcentral
CCUACGGGAGGCUGCAGUGGGGAAUAUUGGACAAUGGGGGGAACCCUGAUCCAGCAAUGCCGCGUGUGUGAAGAAGGCCCUCGGGUUGUAAAGCACUUUCAGUGAGGAAGAACGCCUGGUGGUUAAUACCCAUCAGGAAAGACAUCACUCACAGAAGAAGCACCGGCUAACUCCGUGCCAGCAGCCGCGGUAAUACGGAGGGUGCGAGCGUUAAUCGGAAUUACUGGGCGUAAAGCGCGCGUAGGUGGCUUGAUAAGACGGUUGUGAAAGCCCCGGGCUCAACCUGGGAACGGCAUCCGGAACUGUCAAGCUAGAGUGCAGGAGAGGAAGGUAGAAUUCCCGGUGUAGCGGUGAAAUGCGUAGAGAUCGGGAGGAAUACCAGUGGCGAAGGCGGCCUUCUGGACUGACACUGACACUGAGGUGCGAAAGCGUGGGUAGCAAACAGGAUUAGAUACCCUAGUAGUC